Molecule: ribosomal RNA, 716 nt
Filed under: uncultured bacterium
Lineage: Bacteria
Description: bacterial SSU rRNA
Rfam family: Bacterial small subunit ribosomal RNA
Source: RNAcentral
UCGAUUGAGUUUGAUCAUGGCUCAGGAUGAACGCUGGCGGCGUGCUUAAGACAUGCAAGUCGAACGAAAUCCUUGUAGCAAUACGGGGGUUGAGUGGCGAAUGGGUGCGUAACACGUAGGUGACCUGCCCUGAAGCGGGGAAUAACAGUUCGAAAGGACUGCUAAUACCGCAUGUGGUUGUGGUCUUUUGAAAGCCAUAACGAAAGGUCUUCGUAAGGAGAUCACUUCAGGAGGGGCCUGCGGCCCAUCAGCUAGUUGGUAGGGUAACGGCCUACCAAGGCAACGACGGGUAGGGGACCUGAGAGGGUGACCCCCCACACUGGCACUGACACACGGGCCAGACUCCUACGGGAGGCAGCAGUCGGGAAUAUUGCCCAAUGGUCGCAAGACUGAGGCAGCAACGCCGCGUGCGCGAUGAAGGCCUUCGGGUCGUAAAGCGCUUUUCGGGUGGAUGAGGAAGGACAGUACACCCGGAAUAAGGAACGGCUAACUACGUGCCAGCAGCCGCGGUAAAACGUAGGUUCCGAGCGUUAUCCGGAUUUACUGGGCGUAAAGCGCGUUCAGGCGGUUUGGCAAGUCGGGCAUGAAAUCUCUCGGCUCAACCGGGAGAGGUUGUCCGAUACUGCUGGACUUGAGGGCAGUAGAGGGUGGUGGAAUUCCGGGUGUAGUGGUGAAAUGCGUAGAUAUCCGGAGGAACACCAGUGGCGAAAGCGGCC